AUUGAACGCUGGCGGCAUGCUUUACACAUGCAAGUCGAACGGCAGCACGGGUGCUUGCACCUGGUGGCGAGUGGCGGACGGGUGAGUAAUGCAUCGGAACGUGUCCUUAAGCGGGGGAUAACGCAUCGAAAGAUGUGCUAAUACCGCAUAAUCUCUGAGGAGAAAAGCAGGGGAUCGCAAGACCUUGCACUUUUGGAGCGGCCGAUGUCUGAUUAGCUAGUUGGUGGGGUAAAGGCCUACCAAGGCUUCGAUCAGUAGCUGGUCUGAGAGGACGGCCAGCCACACUGGGACUGAGACACGGCCCAGACUCCUACGGGAGGCUG
Molecule: ribosomal RNA, 323 nt
Filed under: uncultured Pseudomonadota bacterium
Lineage: Bacteria; Pseudomonadati; Pseudomonadota
Description: bacterial SSU rRNA
Rfam family: Bacterial small subunit ribosomal RNA
Source: RNAcentral